ACCCCUCCCUCCCCCUCCCUCCUCCAUUAGUAUUGAUUAUAAAGUUGAUAGAGAUCAAGUGAGACGAGUUGAAUUCACUCAAGGAGACAAUGGUGUAUAUACAAGAUUGUUUGCAAGGAAAAUAAAGAAUUAGUAAUAACAUUAUAAUGACAGUAAAUACAGUGUGUGUGGGACUGUGUGUGUAUAAUCAUUUUAUCUCAUUUAUUUAAUAUUAGUUUUUGUAUGUGUCCAAUAAUUCUUAUAGUUGAUUGUGCUACAUCAGUUUGAUUGUUUCAUAUUUUUGUUCAAUGGCAUUUUUCAUGUAGAUACUAGGAGUUUAAAUGUUACAAUAUUAAACUUUGAGAACACAAACAUGAAAUAAAUUUUAAUUACAAUUGUUUUGUAAAUUUUACAAUACUGACUAUAUUCAUUGAUAUCAAUUAUUAUUUAGUCAUUUUGACACUAUUAUAGUA
Molecule: long non-coding RNA, 452 nt
Organism: Amphimedon queenslandica
Lineage: Eukaryota; Metazoa; Porifera; Demospongiae; Haplosclerida; Niphatidae
Exons: 2
Source: RefSeq, a predicted model, not a curated record